UGCGAACUCCUACGGGAGGCAGCAGUGGGGAAUUUUGGACAAUGGGGGCAACCCUGACGCAGCGACGCCGCGUGGGGGAUGAAGGCCUUCGGGUUGUAAACUCCUUUCGCUAUCGACGAAGCCUUCGGGUGACGGUAGGUAGAUAAGAAGCACCGGCUAACUACGUGCCAGCAGCCGCGGUAAUACGUAGGGUGCAAGCGUUGUCCGGAAUUACUGGGCGUAAAGAGCUCGUAGGUGGUUUGUCGCGUCGUCUGUGAAAUCCCGGGGCUUAACUUCGGGCGUGCAGGCGAUACGGGCAUAACUUGAGUGCUGUAGGGGAGACUGGAAUUCCUGGUGUAGCGGUGAAAUGCGCAGAUAUCAGGAGGAACACCGAUGGCGAAGGCAGGUCUCUGGGCAGUUACUGACGCUGAGGAGCGAAAGCAUGGGUAGCGAACAGGAUUAGAUACCCUAGUAGUCCAGAUG
This 462-nucleotide ribosomal RNA is filed under the name uncultured bacterium. Its description in RNAcentral is "bacterial SSU rRNA". It matches the Rfam family "Bacterial small subunit ribosomal RNA", at positions 330 to 799 of the family's 1533-position model. The record is from RNAcentral.